Molecule: long non-coding RNA, 3244 nt
Organism: Gasterosteus aculeatus aculeatus (three-spined stickleback)
Lineage: Eukaryota; Metazoa; Chordata; Actinopteri; Perciformes; Gasterosteidae
Source: Ensembl
AUCUCUCCUCCUGAACCUCUGGUUUUCAGGGCGUGACCCACUGGGAAUGCAAAUAUUAUUCAAAUGCUUCUGUCAAGUAGGGGAGAUUAACUUUAGUUGAAUGCAGGAAGAUUCACAGGCAUCAACUGUAAUCAACAAAAAACAAGAAGAACAAAAAAAAACACAUCUGGGGGUGAAAAAGGUCACUGGAGCUGACGGAGUCUCGGUUUGCUCCUUUUUAAUUGGUACUUUGAUGAGAAACCCCCUUUCGGCUCAGCAGCUGGCUGUCAUGCAAAGUGUUGAGAGGAAGGCUCAACGUGGGUGUGUGGGGGGCGGAGGUUUCUUCACUCCAUGACGCCCUCCUGACUAACUCAUUCAGCCUCUUUCAUUCGUUCAUUUCCAGCGUCCCUUUUUAGAAUCAAAACUCUGUAGGAAAGUGUAGUUUUCAUCACCGAGCUAUCUUGGUCCAUGACGCUUACAUCAGUGAAGGAAACUGCUCGGGUCACACGAGUGGCUUUUAACGCCACUGGAUGAAUCCAGCGCCCAUCACUUCAGCUACGCUGGUCACAAACCUUGAAGACCUUGAAUGUCUGAUCCAACUUCAACAGAACGACUCCCACUUUUUUCUCUCCGAUCUUUAGGGUCCCCCCCCCCUACUCGCCCCCCGGAGGCCGCUGCUGCUAAGGCGAAACCCGACCCGCCGACUUCUAGCAGCAAAUGUUGGAUCCGUGUGAGCGGUUGUGGCUGGAGUCCAGCUGCUCACACAGUGACACAGUGUGCUGACACCCGGCCGGCAGCAGAACGUCUCUCCCCCAUUCCAAGAACACGCACUUACUCAACCCGCUUCCCUGGAAAGUCAGUCGGGCCUCAGACGGCUGUGUGUGUCCGUGUGUGUGUGUGUGUGUGUGUGUGUGUGUGUGUGUGUGGUGCUUUGCCCUCGCAUUACUCGGUCUGACAUCCAGCCUGCGGGACCUUCUUUAGGGUUUUGCUCCGUCAACACCUCCAGGACUUCACUUUCACCAAGUGUGUUGCUUCAUAACAUUCCGCUGUGUAUUUGAGGUGACCUGGUCUGGUUUUAAGUGGAGACCUCCACUUUCACCGCCUUCAAACACCUCGUUUGUGGGACAAUUUGAUGCUUUUUUUUUUUCUCGGGGCUUCUGCAGGAAUCGACAAGCUUCUCUUCUGAUUGGUGAUUGGUCGGCUGUGUCUCCGUAUGUCUUCCCCAUGAAUCCUCUCAGUGUUCAGGAUUAUUAUUGUGUCAAAAGGACAAAACAACGGCAUUUUAAAAAGUGAACAUUAAGCGACAUUAAAGAUUGGGAGUAGAAAAAACAAUGUUUUAUUAUUUGGUGAAUUAUUUCCAGAAUGAACCCGUAACAAGUGACUAGACAAGAUGAACUGAAUGAACACGGUGUCUUUGAGUGAGAGAUUCAGUCUGAUAAUAGAGGACCGUUAUAAAUGAAUAAACAGGCUCCUCUAUGAGCUCGCUGCACAUUUCCUGCUCUUUUAACGCUUCUAUUGGAUCCAGAAUCAGCGCAUCUUACAGAAUAACAUUUCGAGCAUCACUUAUUAACUCAUCAAUAACUUAUUUCAACAACAAGUGCAGCAGACUGCACAGGUCGCUGUGGGUUCACAUGACGAUACCCGAGUGCGUCCAUUUCUCACUCCCUACUUUAGUUUACAGCUGUCUGGUCCUUUUUACCAGCAACCAGAUGCUGAGAGGAUCAGUCAGGAUCAGUUGCAGCGGAAUCCGCCGGUGGGAAGAUGAAAAUGAUGCGAGGACGGUGAGGAAGAAAGAAGCUUCACAACAUGGGUCCACAAAGCUGAGGGAGACGUUACCAUGGCUACGCGCGCACAUCUCAGAAGCUUCCUGAGCUCUUCUUCAAGACGUCCACCUUUAGAUUCUUAGAUGUUUGUGUGAAAACGUCGAAAAACGUACUUUACUUUACUCCCUGUGUCAAACCCCCAAACUAUCACUUUGAGAAAGUCCUUUAAGUUCAGCCUAAAUGUCCCACAAUACACAACUUCACCAUCAUUAGUGUGGCAAAACUCCCAUAAUGCAACGCUCUCAGUUUCCACCCCAAACGUCACUCUGGAUGUCAGUCGAGAUUUAAUUUGCUGCCUUAUUACGAGUUGAAAUAAUAUGUCUUUAUUAACGCAGCGAUGGUUUAUUCCCUGGAUCGCUAUGAAAGCAUCAGAGGGAGAGAAACAGUAAAAGUCUGAGCCAACGUGUCCUUACCGGGCUCACAGCCAGAGGACACACACACACACACACACACACACACACACACACACACACACACACACACACUGUACUGCACACACACACACACACACUGUACUGCACACACUGUACUGCACACACUGUACCUCGACUGGAAGCGUUAUUUGAGUCGCACGUGGCGGCUGAGGAGAACUGAUCCGGUCCCUCGAGGACAGAACACAGGUGGCGAGGAGGUCAAAGGUCAGAGCGGCACCGCAGCCUGGUUUCAGGGAACAGCUGAGCUACUGCACACCAUUAUGUUCACACCACUGGGCCCAGAUGUGCAAGCAACAGCAGCUGAACUUUGGGUUCAUUGAACAUCGACACGAUUUAUCGCCAAAACUCCUCCGGGUGGAUGUUGUCGUAAAGCCUCUUAAAGGGCCGGCGCGCAGGAUUUCAAGGGGGCGUGUAAGUUUCAUAAGUAUGUUUUCGUCAACACCGGUAAAUGUGUGCAUCCAAAGUCAAACAAAAACCUGCCUUGUUGACACAGACCUGAAAAGCAGAGCGGCGUGCGGACGCGUGCGGCGCGGCGCCCGCUGUGGUCGCACCGGGGCUCGGCUCCUUGAUGCGCAAAACAAACAGACCCAAAGCAAAGACUGAGAGGUCAGCUGGGCGGUUUCCACGCCGUCAGCUGCUUCUUCCUGGAAGCGCUCGGACCGACGCACGCGCACACACACACACACACACACACACACACACACACACACACACACACACACACACACACACAUGAUCCUCCGUGAUCCAGCCGACGUGUAAAGUACUGCACAUUUAAAUGACGUUCUGUAUUGAAUUACUUUUUAUUUAUCCUGCAAAUGCUUCUGCUUCUUGUACUUUAAAGCUAUUGAGGACUUCGUUUGUGAAGGUCGUCCUCCUGUGUUUUCGUCCACCGCUUAAGAGAAGCUCUCGUUGUCCUGCAGUCUGACAGUCUGCCCCUCAGUCCUGGUGCUGGUUCUCUCGGGCCUCCCUUCCCUCCCGGCGGGUCCAGCACCAAAUCCUGGGGCU